This 513-nucleotide ribosomal RNA is filed under the name uncultured bacterium. RNAcentral's name for it is "bacterial SSU rRNA". It matches the Rfam family "Bacterial small subunit ribosomal RNA", at positions 17 to 518 of the family's 1533-position model. The record is from RNAcentral.
UACUGGCUCAGGAUGAACGCUAGCUACAGGCUUAACACAUGCAAGUCGAGGGGAAACGAUAUAGAAAGCUUGCUUUCUUUAGGCGUCGACCGGCGAAUGGGUGAGUAACGCGUAUCCAACCUGCCCCUGAGUAAGGGAUAGCCCAUCGAAAGAUGGAUUAAUACCUUAUGGUCUCCUUUGCAGACAUCUAAUUAGGAGUAAAGAUUUAUCGCUGAGGGAUGGGGAUGCGUCUGAUUAGCUUGUUGGCGGGGUAACGGCCCACCAAGGCAACGAUCAGUAGGGUUCUGAGAGGAAGGUCCCCCACAUUGGUACUGAGACACGGACCAAACUCCUACGGGAGGCAGCAGUGAGGAAUAUUGGUCAAUGGGCGCAAGCCUGAACCAGCCAAGUAGCGUGCAGGAAGACUGCCCUAUGGGUUGUAAACUGCUUUUAUACGGGGAUAAAGUCAGGGUCGUGACCCUGUUUGCAGGUACCGUAUGAAUAAGGACCGGCUAAUUCCGUGCCAGCCGCAGC